This 508-nucleotide ribosomal RNA is filed under the name uncultured bacterium. RNAcentral's name for it is "partial 16S ribosomal RNA". It matches the Rfam family "Bacterial small subunit ribosomal RNA", at positions 28 to 507 of the family's 1533-position model. The record is from RNAcentral.
GACGAACGCUGGCGGCGUGCCUAAUACAUGCAAGUCGAACGCUUCUUUCCUCCCGAGUGCUUGCACUCCAUUGGAAAGAGGAGUGGCGGACGGGUGAGUAACACGUGGGUAACCUACCCUUCAGAGGGGGAUAACACUUGGAAACAGGCGCUAAUACCGCAUAACAGUUUAUGCCGCAUGGCAUAAGAGUGAAAGGCGCUUUCGGGUGUCGUUGAUGGAUGGACCCGCGGUGCAUUAGCUAGUUGGUGAGGUAACGGCUCACCAAGGCCACGAUGCAUAGCCGACCUGAGAGGGUGAUCGGCCACACUGGGACUGAGACACGGCCCAGACUCCUACGGGAGGCAGCAGUAGGGAAUCUUCGGCAAUGGACGAAAGUCUGACCGAGCAACGCCGCGUGAGUGAAGAAGGUUUUCGGAUCGUAAAACUCUGUUGUUAGAGAAGAACAAGGACGUUAGUAACUGAACGUCCCCUGACGGUAUCUAACCAGAAAGCCACGGCUAACUACGUG